This 2142-nucleotide long non-coding RNA is filed under the name Homo sapiens (human). Its description in RNAcentral is "non-protein coding lnc-RASD1-2:1". Lineage: Eukaryota; Metazoa; Chordata; Mammalia; Primates; Hominidae. The record is from RNAcentral.
CCUGCUGCUCCUGGGAGGGGCUCAGGCCAUUUGAUUCUGCCUGGUGGGUUCAGGGCUGCCUGGCUAGCCACCAAGACACGGGAGAGCAAAGCCCGGCCAAACCCAGGGGCAGUGGUGUCCAGCAGGCAUCAGGACAUGCCGUGGCCCACACAUGCCCUUCUCCACAGGUGCCAUCAUCUCCUUUCUUCUCCUGUUAGUGAUGGCUUCAUUGGCCUCAGGUGACACCGCCUUCUAGCCCAGGCCACUGGAUCCAGCCAGAGCGUCUGUGCAUCGCCCCAGGGAGGUGUGGGGAGGCUCGGCCCCACCUGGCAAGUUUAUAGGCUGCUUGAGGACAUAAGAUGGGUACAGAAGAGGCUUCAGGGCUCAGCAGAUGCUGUGCUGGGAGUGAGCCCAGGCAAGGUGGCCCAGGGACAGAAGAUGGAAGGUCAGUCGUGGCCUCCUUCCAGAAGGAAAGAGAUUUUAGCAGGAAGAGACAGGCAAGGAAAGGAAUUGGUUUUUCAGGCAGAGCGGUACUUUUUUAAAUUGACAAAUUUUAAGCAUACAGAAAAGUAGAGAGGACGAACCUCCAAACAUCAGCCCUUAGAUUCCAGUACAUCCUGCCUUGGUAGCUGACGUCACGAACGCUGUGACCUGUCCCUCUGCACUCCAUCAUAGCAUCUCUAAAACGGAGGACAUUUCCUACCUCAGCACAACUUCAUUAUCACAAAAGAGAACAUUUUGAGCAAAAGUUUGGAAGCAGGCAAAAGUAGGGUUUGUUCUGGAAUGGCAUGAAUGAAUGAGUCAUGGGCUGGACCCGGCCCCGCAGAAAGAGCAGAGGAGGCCGUCUCUGGUGUAGGAGUUGAAGCCAAGACUCAGCAUGCAGGACAAGGAGCCCAGCCUGGUGGCAUGGGCUGUGGCUUCUCCAGUGGGCCCAUAGGAAUGGCCCUGGGGCUGGGACUUGUGGGGACGGCGGCCACAAGAGGAGGAUCUUCAGCAUGGCCUGACAGCACCUGUAAUGUAGGCAGGCAAUGGGCUCCUCCAGGUGGCAGGAACACUGUGAGGAGCAUGCAACGUGCUGGAGACCAUGGGGCAUGUGACCUCCGGGCACACCCUGGACAGACCUGGGUGAGAGGUGGGCUGGGACGCCAGGACGGUGAGGGGCUUCAAGGUGUGUUUGUCCUUUGUCCUUAUACAGGUGACCUGCAUGGGCGGGUGAGGUCCAUCAGAAUGCUCUAGAACAGGACAACUGAGGUCCCGGCUGCCCCGCUCAACACGCCAUGAUUCCUAGACUGCCCUGAGAGGUCAGGUUUUAAAUAGGGUGUGGCCCGGCAAGGACCCUGAGGGAUGUGAGGCCAGACAGCUCCUUGGUGGCCGCCUGCACGGGAAGCUGAGUGGCCCUUUGGAACAGGAAGUGCCUUGUCCAAGUUAACCCGGGCCCGGGCCCACCUUGGACUCCCUCUGGAGAGAACGGCUGGCCUGUUCGCCUCCUUUCUCCUUCCUUCCAAAAUAACAUGUCCAGGUCCCUUGGUAAGAAUGCUGCAGCUGGGGUCAGUCUCCAAACUGGAGUUUGGUGGCUAAAAUGCCCGCCUUUCUGCCCCCAAUUUCACACAUGGAUGAUGGUCCUGGUUCAGCAGGGAAGAUUCUCUUGGACCCGUGUCUGCUGGUUGGGAAGUGGAGAAAGCCGCCCUGUUCUGCCUCCAUUUUGAAACGUCUUUUCUGUUCGGAGGACUAAAGGAAGCCAGAGCUGGUUCAGAUGUUCAUGAGCACCUGUGCCAGCCCCUGCCCGUCACACUUGAGGACACCAAGGCUGUGGUCUGUGCAGUGAAUCGGGGCAGUGGGGGGACUUCAUGGUUAGAAACACAAGCUGGAGGCCGGAUGCGGUGGCUCCUGCCUGUAAUCCCUGCACUUUGGGAUGCCUGAGGUCAGGAGUUCAAGACCAGCCUGGCCAACAUGGUGAAACCCUGUCUCUACUACAAAUACGAAAAUUAGCUGGGCGUGGUGGUGGGCACCUGUAAUCCCAGCUACUCGGGAGGCUGAGGCAGGAGAAUCGCUUGAACCCGGGAGGUGGAGGUUGCAGUGAGCCGAGAUCACACCAUUGCACUCCAGCCUGGGCGACAAGAGCAAAACUCCGUCUAAAAAAAAAAAAAAGAAAAGAAAAAGAAA